Molecule: non-coding RNA, 73 nt
Organism: Nematostella vectensis (starlet sea anemone)
Lineage: Eukaryota; Metazoa; Cnidaria; Anthozoa; Actiniaria; Edwardsiidae
Source: Rfam
GUUUCCGUAGUGUAGUGGUUAUCACGUCUGCUUUACACGCAUAAGGUCCCCAGUUCUAGCCUGGGCGGAAACA